This 385-nucleotide long non-coding RNA is filed under the name Anas platyrhynchos platyrhynchos (common mallard). RNAcentral describes it as "lncRNA (ENSAPLG00000030643.1)". Lineage: Eukaryota; Metazoa; Chordata; Aves; Anseriformes; Anatidae. The record is from RNAcentral.
UUUUGGUCCUGUAAUAACUAUCAGUGAAGCGACUUCUUAGAUAAAUGAAAUGCAUUGUUAAUAUUUUAUUGUUAGCAAAGUUCUAGGCAAAAGAAUGGUAAAUGUACGUCCUUCAGUUGUCCCUCAGUUUGUAAAUAUAUCAGUUGGUAAAUAUUAAUCAGGUUCUGGCAAAAGCUAGAGGGUUCUUUCAAGUACAUAUAGCAAAGAAAACUGCUUCAACAUCAACAAUUGCUAAUCCAACAGCACACAUACAUGAAAGCUUAUAGAUUUUCAUUCCUCGGACUCUUUCCUGAAUUUAAGACUAACUGGUGAAAGAAGAAUAAGCAAAACAGUGAAAGUAACGGCUGAGGUGAGACAAGAUGAAAGUCAUACAGCAAGACUGAAG